RNAcentral lists this transfer RNA (66 nucleotides) under Polyrhachis dives. RNAcentral's name for it is "tRNA-Asn". The record is from RNAcentral. Lineage: Eukaryota; Metazoa; Arthropoda; Insecta; Hymenoptera; Formicidae.
UUAAUUGAAACCAAAAAAAGAGGUAAAUUAUUGUUAAUAAUUUCAGUGAAUUAUAUUCCAAUUAAU